GACGAACGCUGGUGGCGUGCUUAACACAUGCAAGUCGAACGGGAUUUAGUAAACAGACGCCUCGGUGGAAGAUUACUAAUGAGAGUGGCGAACGGGUGAGUAACGCGUGAGCAACCUGCCUAUGACAGUGGGAUAGCCUCGGGAAACCGGGAUUAAUACCGCAUAAAAUCGUAGAAACACAUGUUUUAACGGUCAAAGAUUUAUCGGUCAUAGAUGGGCUCGCGUCUGAUUAGCUAGUUGGUGAGAUAACAGCCCACCAAGGCGACGAUCAGUAGCCGGUCAGAGAGAGAGAACGGCAACUGUGGACGUGAGACACGGACAAAACCCCCCGGGGGGGAGGCGGGGGGAAAUAUGGCAAAAGGGGGAAACCCCGGAUGCAGCGCCGCCGGGGGAAGAAAAAGGUUUUUCGUAUGAAAAAUUUUUUUCCUAGGGGAAGAAAAUGACAUAACAAAAGAAAAAAGCCCCGGCUAAAUACGUG
RNAcentral lists this ribosomal RNA (478 nucleotides) under uncultured bacterium. RNAcentral describes it as "partial 16S ribosomal RNA". It matches the Rfam family "Bacterial small subunit ribosomal RNA", at positions 28 to 507 of the family's 1533-position model. The record is from RNAcentral.